Molecule: non-coding RNA, 73 nt
Organism: Phrynosoma platyrhinos (Desert horned lizard)
Lineage: Eukaryota; Metazoa; Chordata; Lepidosauria; Squamata; Phrynosomatidae
Source: the annotation of a GenBank genome assembly
GCCUGUGUGGCAUAGUGGUUUUAAAUGUUGGACUAUGACUCUGGAGACCAGGGUUCAAUUCCCAGCUCAGCCA